CUUGCCGUGACCGCGUAGGUGGCUCAUUUCGCGUGACGCUGGCGACCUACGCGACGCAGAGCUGCGCGAGCGGGUUGGUUAGAAAGCAAGAGGGGAGGAAGCGGAUUCAGCGCCAGGCUUUUGAUGUCUUCGGGAGAAGCAGAGUUUAGAGUUUGGAAACCUUGGGAGGGGGGGGGGAGCCUUUUUGGUGCCAUGAAAAUAAGGCAAUAUGAUUUAAAUUAUGAACUAUCAUUUUAGAUACGGACGCAGUGCAUAGUACUUUUAUAAUUGUAUUUAAACUGAGCCACUUUAUUAUAUUAUUUUCUUUAUUUUUAAUCUCUCCUUUAUUAUUACAAAUAACUGAAUAUCCAAACGCACCUUCCUCUUCCUAUUUUCCUCCUGACAACAACCCUGUGAGGUGAGCUGGGCCGAGAGUGACUGGCCCAAGGUCAUCCAGCCAUUUCAUGGCUAACGCAGCAUUCUAGAACCCUGGUCUCCUGGUUUCUAGCCUGGGGCAUAACCACUAAAACAACAGAUUUGUUAUAAUCGUGGAGACUGCUUAGUUCCCCUAUAUAGAGCCGAGGUGGCACAGUGGUUAGAGUGCAGUACUGCAAGCUACUUCAGCUGACUGCUUAGCUGCAGUUCCGCAGAUCGAAUCUCACCGGCUCAAGGUUGACUCAGCCUUCCAUCCUUCAGAGAUCUCGAUUUUCAUAUGUACUGCAGUAUUUCAAGUUAAUAAGAGUGCUGCAAGGUUAUUUUGACUUCUACUUCUGGCCAACUAAAGCAUCUUGCUUAAAAGCAUUGCCUGAUUAUUACCUUGAUGUGGCAAAAAGAUCUUUUCAGUGUGGUCUGAAGCUCUGGAAUUUGUGAUUUUCCAUGGAAAUACUAACCAGCUACAGAUAUUACUUUGCUUACAAACUUUUGAGUUGCAAACUUUCAGUAAACAUGAACAAGCCUGUCUGCAAUUUCAAUUAGAAAGUCCCAGAAGUUGAGAGAAGCUGGGAAUGGGUUAAUUUCUGACAUAUCACAUAUACGUGGUGUGCUGGAAACUAACCUUUCCCCACCUUCUUCCGACUUCCUUUCUCAUCUUCUUCUGAUUUCCUAGAAAAGGACUUCGAUGAGCUGCUAAUUGCACAUACAGAGGAUAUCUCCAAUGAAGAUCUCAUGGAGUUGAAAAGUCAGAGAAAAAUAAAGAGAUUGAACUAUCAAAGCAGUUCCACAUGAAGCUGAGAACUGCAGAGGAGUUCAACCUGUCUGAGAAAAUGCUAUCAUGUUCAAAAUGCAGGACAUUCAUGUUGAAUAGUUGAACAGCAACAUUUACCAAGAAAAGAGGAAAGCCACCACCCAAAGUUUACAGGACUACUAUUUCAAGAAGGUGGAGAAAUCUAAUUUUUCAAUUCUGGAGAAUGAGCCUAUUCCACUGCUAUAAGGUUUUAUUGUGAUGCUACCGCUUAUGUAAAUAAUAACUGUAUUGUGCAUAUUUUUAUACUUGUUGGACUUGUGAACAAAAUUAACUUAUGAACAGCCUUUUGGAAUGUAACCGGUUUAUCAAUAGAGCACUGUCUUAGCUUUUCUCCAGCUCAACCAACUAAGUGCUUCCAUCUUCUAACUAUGUUGACAUUCCACUGAGUGAUGUAAUCAAACAAAAAAUGUUAGCAGAAUCACUAUUUAAAACAAGCAAGAAACUCAAAAAUGUGAGUGUAAGCAAUAAAUCAGUUCUAUUAAUAAAUAUUGGCAAAAUGAAGUUUCAAAAAUUGUAUUUAUAUUAUUUAUAUAAAAUGGUAUAUUCUAUACAAGAUGUAUAUUAUAUUUAAUAAAAUGGCAAAUAAUUAUAAUAAGGAUGAACUAUUCUUCUGAUGUUUACUUUGGCAAAUCACAAGCUUUUCGUUUAACAACUCAGCAAAGUUAUGAAACCAUCUAGUAUAAUCUGGUUUGGGUCAUCUUCACCUUCCAUGGGUUGAGAGGAUAAUUAUAUAUACAAUAUAAUUAAUUAUUUUAGAUUUGCUAUCUUUAGAGUGACAACAACUGAAAUCAAUAAACAAUAUUAUCAUGAUCAUAAGUCAUGCAGUGUCAAACUAAUUAAGCACAGGAGAGAAAACAGCCUUUGACAGACAUGUUGAUGAUAAAUCUUGUAUGUGAAAAAAUUCAGUUUCACGCCAUGUUUCCUGUGUUAAUAGCCAAGGCUAUCUGCUACUUGACAAAUAGACGAGGUUUUUUUAUAUUUAGCACUUCAAAUAAUUUGCUUCUAUCUCACAUCCUAAAUAUCUUAGAAAUAAAUCCUUCUGGUUUUAGUAGGACUUAAGUCUAUACAAAUGAUUACAGAUUAAAUAUUGUGGUUAAAAAGGUCUUCUCAGCCAAAAGGAGCAUGUUAAUAUUAUGGCUCAGACUCUAACCAAAAUAAUUAAGCACUCUCUCUCUCAUCCCAUUUAAUUUCAACCUUCUGAAGACAGCAUUAAAUUUGGCAGGCCACUGUAUCACAUAGCUGCUGUAAAUUAUUAAGAACCAAAAAUGUGUUUAGUGAGUUUAGACCAACAAUAGCUAGUGACAUUUCAAAGCAUCAGAAUGCUGAAAUAAUUGCCUUUGCCAGUGCUUCCAAGAUGUAUUAUCAUGUAAAUUGUGAUACUGAUAUUUUACAAUUAAUAUUCCAAAAAUUGUAGUAAGGAUGAGUAUAAACUGCCUGUUUCAUCAUUUAUGCAAGUAAAGCCUAGCAUAAGGAUGAGCAACUGUUAACUGAUCUGGGAAUGCAUGUGAACAAGAAAAGUGCCAAAUAUGCCAUCAUGCUUCAUGACAACAUAGUCAGGAAUUUUAUAUCCCCUCCUUUAUUUGUUCCAUCCAGAAAUGCAUUUUAAAGGAGAUCUGUUCUGACCCUGGAUAACAAUGUAUUUCUAUUUAAUCCAAACAUAAAAUUACUAUUGAUUGAAUAUUUAUAAAAUUAAGACUGGUUGGUUAACCCAAUUUAAUGGUAUUAGCGAGCCAAGAAAUGUAAUAGCUCUUUCCCCCCCUUCACUUACAUUUCUGAAAUGAUGGGUUGUGUCAUUUUUAAAACCUCAUAAUUGCGAAGGCUUAUUUUCUCUGAAGACAAAUUUAUACCAAUCAAGAAAUGUUAACAUUUUGUAAGAUCUAUGUUAUUUAUUAUUCUCUCUGCGUUUGCCUCUUUUCAUGUUUACUGAAUAGAAUAUGACUGUACAGAUUCUGAAAUGGAAAAGCAGAUAUAUUAAAAAAAUCCUCUUAGUAUAAACUAUCUGUUGUGUUUCAUCUAAUUAGCAUCUCAAAAUAGACUGAAUAAAAAAACCCUGCUCUGAAGAUAAUGCUGUUGAUUAUUUGUCAUUCUUUUCUUUAUCAUGCUCCAAAAAGGUUCUAAGAAUAAACGUAUUC
Long non-coding RNA from Pantherophis guttatus, 3354 nucleotides. RefSeq lists it as uncharacterized. NCBI's taxonomy places the organism in Eukaryota, Metazoa, Chordata, Lepidosauria, Squamata, Colubridae. The record is from RefSeq and is a predicted model, not a curated record.